GGUGAACCUGCGGAAGGAUCAUUAUUGAAAAAAUGAGUGCACUUAAUUGUGACUCAAAAUUCAAAAUUUUAAAAAACCCUUACCUUAUUACAUGUUUCUUUAUUAGAUACAUAGUAAUUUGGUAUACGUAACUUUAGUUUAGAAAUAAACUUUAGUUGCAUUACCCCCCUUACUUUUUGUUUUAAAAAUUUGUCUUAAGAAUGUAAAACCUUUAAAAUAAUAUAACUUUUAACAAUGGAUCUCUAGGCUCUCACAUCGAUGAAGAACACAGUGAAAUGUGAUAAGUAAUGUGAAUUGCAGAAUUCAGUGAAUCAUCGAAUCUUUGAACGCACCUUGCACCUUUUGGUAUUCCAAAAGGUACACCUGUUUGAGUGUCAUGAAAACUAAUCAUUAUGAAAUUUUUUUAUGAAGAUUUUUUAAUGGAUGUUGAGUGUUGCUGUAAUUAGCUCACUUUAAAUAUAUAAGUUUUUUUCUUACUAAAAAUUUGGAUUGACUUAAUGUGAUAUAUUAUCUUCAUUAAGGAUUGUAUCUUUUGAUACUGCCAUAUUAACUCAUUAGUAUUGAAAUUGCUUCUAACUUGUCUAUUAAUGACAUAAUCUUUAAGACCUCAAAUCAGGUGGGACUACCCGCUGAACUUAAGCAUAUCAAUAAGCGGAGGAAAAGAAACUAACAAGGAUUCCCCUAGUAACGGCGAGUGAAGAGGGAAAAGCCC
RNAcentral lists this ribosomal RNA (712 nucleotides) under Dietelia duguetiae. RNAcentral describes it as "eukaryotic LSU rRNA". The stretch from base 224 to 377 matches the Rfam family "5.8S ribosomal RNA". Lineage: Eukaryota; Fungi; Basidiomycota; Pucciniomycetes; Pucciniales; Pucciniaceae. The record is from RNAcentral.